Molecule: ribosomal RNA, 301 nt
Filed under: uncultured bacterium
Lineage: Bacteria
Description: partial 16S ribosomal RNA
Rfam family: Bacterial small subunit ribosomal RNA
Source: RNAcentral
CAGUAGCCGCGGGAAUACGUAGGGUGCGAGCGUUAAUCGGAAUUACUGGGCGUAAAGCGUGCGCAGGCGGUUUUGUAAGACAGGCGUGAAAUCCCCGGGCUCAACCUGGGAAUGGCGCUUGUGACUGCAAAGCUAGAGUGCGGCAGAGGGGGAUGGAAUUCCGCGUGUAGCAGUGAAAUGCGUAGAUAUGCGGAGGAACACCGAUGGCGAAGGCAAUCCCCUGGGCCUGCACUGACGCUCAUGCACGAAAGCGUGGGGAGCAAACAGGAUUAGAGACCCCUGUAGUCCCUGUCUCUUAUAC